GGCCCCAUCGUCUAGAGGUUAGGACACGGCUCUUUCAAGGCCGCGGCACGGGUUCGAGUCCCGUUGGGGACACCA
This 75-nucleotide transfer RNA is filed under the name Acidobacteriota bacterium. RNAcentral describes it as "tRNA-Glu". It matches the Rfam family "tRNA". From Rfam's summary of the family: Transfer RNA (tRNA) molecules are approximately 80 nucleotides in length. Their secondary structure includes four short double-helical elements and three loops (D, anti-codon, and T loops). Further hydrogen bonds mediate the characteristic L-shaped molecular structure. tRNAs have two regions of fundamental functional importance: the anti-codon, which is responsible for specific mRNA codon recognition, and the 3' end, to which the tRNAs corresponding amino acid is attached (by aminoacyl-tRNA synthetases). tRNAs cope with the degeneracy of the genetic code in two manners: having more than one tRNA (with a specific anti-codon) for a particular amino acid; and 'wobble' base-pairing, i.e. permitting non-standard base-pairing at the 3rd anti-codon position. Lineage: Bacteria; Pseudomonadati; Acidobacteriota. The record is from RNAcentral.